RNAcentral lists this ribosomal RNA (692 nucleotides) under Bacillus subtilis. RNAcentral's name for it is "bacterial SSU rRNA". It matches the Rfam family "Bacterial small subunit ribosomal RNA", at positions 657 to 1349 of the family's 1533-position model. Lineage: Bacteria; Bacillati; Bacillota; Bacilli; Caryophanales; Bacillaceae. The record is from RNAcentral.
GAGAGUGGAAUUCCACGUGUAGCGGUGAAAUGCGUAGAGAUGUGGAGGAACACCAGUGGCGAAGGCGACUCUCUGGUCUGUAACUGACGCUGAGGAGCGAAAGCGUGGGGAGCGAACAGGAUUAGAUACCCUGGUAGUCCACGCCGUAAACGAUGAGUGCUAAGUGUUAGGGGGUUUCCGCCCCUUAGUGCUGCAGCUAACGCAUUAAGCACUCCGCCUGGGGAGUACGGUCGCAAGACUGAAACUCAAAGGAAUUGACGGGGGCCCGCACAAGCGGUGGAGCAUGUGGUUUAAUUCGAAGCAACGCGAAGAACCUUACCAGGUCUUGACAUCCUCUGACAAUCCUAGAGAUAGGACGUCCCCUUCGGGGGCAGAGUGACAGGUGGUGCAUGGUUGUCGUCAGCUCGUGUCGUGAGAUGUUGGGUUAAGUCCCGCAACGAGCGCAACCCUUGAUCUUAGUUGCCAGCAUUCAGUUGGGCACUCUAAGGUGACUGCCGGUGACAAACCGGAGGAAGGUGGGGAUGACGUCAAAUCAUCAUGCCCCUUAUGACCUGGGCUACACACGUGCUACAAUGGACAGAACAAAGGGCAGCGAAACCGCGGAGGUAAAGCAAUCCCACAAAUCUGUUCUCAGUUCGGAUCGCAGUCUGCAACUCGACUGCGUGAAGCUGGAAUCGCUAGUAAUCGCGGAU